CGGUGUGCUUAACACAUGCAAGUCGAGCGGUGAACCACCUUCGGGUGGGGAUCAGCGGCGAACGGGUGAGUAACACGUGGGCAACCUGCCCCGAGCACUGGGAUAACAGCGGGAAACUGCUGCUAAUACCGGAUACGACGACCGACCGCAUGGUCUGGUCGUGGAAAGGAUUCCGGCUCGGGAUGGGCCCGCGGCCUAUCAGCUAGUUGGUGGGGUAAUGGCCUACCAAGGCGACGACGGGUAGCCGGCCUGAGAGGGCGACCGGCCACACUGGGACUGAGACACGGCCCAGACUCCUACGGGAGGCAGCAGUGGGAAUAUUGCGCAAUGGGCGAAAGCCUGACGCAGCAACACCGCGUGAGGGACGACGGCCUUCGGGUCGUAAACCUCUUUCAGCUCCGACGAAGCGAGAGUGACGGUAGGAGCAGAAGAAGCACCGGCUAACUACGUGCCAGCAGCCGCGGUAAUACGUAGGGUGCAAGCGUUGUCCGGAAUUAUUGGGCGUAAAGAGCUCGUAGGCGGUCCGUUGCGUCUGCCGUGAAAACCCGGGGCUCAACCCCGGGCCUGCGGAGGAUACGGGCGGACUAGAGUCCGGUAGGGGAGACUGGAUUCCUGGUGUAGCGGUGGAAUGCGCAGAUAUCAGGAGGAACACCGGUGGCGAAGGCGGGUCUCUGGGCCGGAACUGACGCUGAGGAGCGAAAGCGUGGGGAGCGAACAGGAUUAGAUACCCUGGUAGUCCACGCCGUAAACGGUGGGCGCUAGGUGUGGGGAUCGUUUCCACGAUCUCCGUGCCGCAGCUAACGCAUUAAGCGCCCCGCCUGGGGAGUACGGCCGCAAGGCUAAAACUCAAAGGAAUUGACGGGGGCCCGCACAAGCGGCGGAGCAUGCGGAUUAAUUCGAUGCAACGCGAAGAACCUUACCUGGGUUUGACAUAUACGGAAAACUGGCAGAGAUGUCAGGUCCGCAAGGGCCGUAUACAGGUGGUGCAUGGCUGUCGUCAGCUCGUGUCGUGAGAUGUUGGGUUAAGUCCCGCAACGAGCGCAACCCUCGUCCUAUGUUGCCAGCGGAUAAUGCCGGGGACUCAUAGGAGACUGCCGGGGUCAACUCGGAGGAAGGUGGGGAUGACGUCAAGUCAUCAUGCCCCUUAUGUCCAGGGCUACACGCAUGCUACAAUGGCCGGUACAAAGGGCUGCGAUACCGCAAGGUGGAGCGAAUCCCAAAAAGCCGGUCUCAGUUCGGAUUGGGGUCUGCAACUCGACCCCAUGAAGUCGGAGUCGCUAGUAAUCGUAGAUCAGCAACGCUGCGGUGAAUACGUUCCCGGGCCUUGUACACACCGCCCGUCACGUCACGAAAGUUGGGAACACCCGAAGCCCGUGGCUCAACCCCUCGGGGAGAGAGCGGUCGAAGGUGGGCCUAGCGAUUGGGACGAAGUCGAAACAAGGUA
Molecule: ribosomal RNA, 1444 nt
Filed under: metagenome
Description: bacterial SSU rRNA
Rfam family: Bacterial small subunit ribosomal RNA
Source: RNAcentral